UAUGAGCUGUAACACUCACUGCAAAGGUC
This 29-nucleotide non-coding RNA is filed under the name Homo sapiens (human). Lineage: Eukaryota; Metazoa; Chordata; Mammalia; Primates; Hominidae. The record is from RNAcentral.